UACAGAGGUCUCAAGCGUUGUUCGGAUUCAUUGGGCGUAAAGGGUGUGUAGGUGGCGCGCUAAGUCGGGUGUGAAAUUUCGGAGCUUAACUCCGAAACUGCAUUCGAUACUGGCGUGCUUGAGGACUGGAGAGGAGACUGGAAUUUACGGUGUAGCAGUGAAAUGCGUAGAUAUCGUAAGGAAGACCAGUGGCGAAGGCGGGUCUCUGGGCAAUUCCUGACGCUGAGGCGCGAAAGCGUGGGGAGCAAACGGG
RNAcentral lists this ribosomal RNA (253 nucleotides) under uncultured bacterium. RNAcentral describes it as "partial 16S ribosomal RNA". It matches the Rfam family "Bacterial small subunit ribosomal RNA", at positions 524 to 776 of the family's 1533-position model. The record is from RNAcentral.